CAAAUGGGAACACACUGAAACCUCCAGAUUGAUAACGUCUGCAUAAAUAUGCAUCAGGGUAAGGAUAACUUCACUCAAAGACAUGUAUUGUUCUGUACAGUCAGUACAGAAGAGGUCAGUAACGGAAAUGACUGCAUCUUGCAGAGUAUUUUUGUUCACCCUUGGUGAGCUUUAACCUACCAGAAUGGGCCUUUUGUUUUCAGGAACGUUGGGGGACUAAGAGGACGUCUGGCUUUGGGCCGAGGCCGAGCCUUCUUCCAUGGGAGAACGACUGCUUGUUUGUUAACGCCAGAAAGCUCCCACGUGGUGAAAGGAACUCCGAUAAGCUUUUUCAUUGAACCGAAUGAGCGGAGGACACGCUGCAGCCUGCCCUUGUCCUUGGCUGUGGCUGCAGCGUACCAGACGGUGAUGGAGGAGCAGAGGAUGGACUCCAUGAUGGCCG
This is a long non-coding RNA of Gasterosteus aculeatus aculeatus (three-spined stickleback), 442 nucleotides long. The record is from Ensembl. Lineage: Eukaryota; Metazoa; Chordata; Actinopteri; Perciformes; Gasterosteidae.